This 776-nucleotide ribosomal RNA is filed under the name Lactarius sp. (in: basidiomycete fungi). RNAcentral's name for it is "Lactarius sp. (in: Russulaceae) partial large subunit ribosomal RNA". It matches the Rfam family "Eukaryotic large subunit ribosomal RNA", at positions 169 to 960 of the family's 3401-position model. The record is from RNAcentral. Lineage: Eukaryota; Fungi; Basidiomycota; Agaricomycetes; Russulales; Russulaceae.
GCCAGACCGUGCACAAGUCUCCUGGAAUGGAGCGUCAUAGAGGGUGAGAAUCCCGUCUUUGGCACGGACGCCUGGUGCUUUGUGAUGCGCUCUCGAAGAGUCGAGUUGUUUGGGAAUGCAGCUCAAAAUGGGUGGUGAACUCCAUCUAAAGCUAAAUAUUGGCGAGAGACCGAUAGCGAACAAGUACCGUGAGGGAAAGAUGAAAAGCACUUUGGAAAGAGAGUGAAACAGUACGUGAAAUUGUUGAAAGGGAAACGCUUGGAGUCAGUCGCGUUGACCGAGACUCAGCCUUGCCUCGGCAUGGUGUACUUCUCGGAUCGACGGGUCAGCGUCAAUUUUGCCCCUCGGAUAAUGACAAGGGAAAGGUGGCACCUUUGGGUGUGUUAUAGUCUCCUGUCGGACACGAGGGGUGGGAUUGAGGAACUCAGCUUCGCGCUUAGGACGCUGGCGUAAUGGCUUUAAACGACCCGUCUUGAAACACGGACCAAGGAGUCCAACAUGCCCGCGAGUGUUCGGGUGGAAAACCCGUGCGCGUAAUGAAAGUAAAAGUUGGGACCUCUGUCGUGGAGGGCACCGACGCCCGGACCAGACCUUCUGUGACGGAUCUGCGGUAGAGCGUGCAUGUUGGGACCCGAAAGAUGGUGAACUAUGCCUGAAUAGGGUGAAGCCAGAGGAAACUCUGGUGGAGGCUCGUAGCGAUUCUGACGUGCAAAUCGAUCGUCAAAUUUGGGUAUAGGGGCGAAAGACUAAUCGAACCAUCUAGUAGCUGGUUCCUG